GUCCCCAUAGUUGAAUGGAUACAACGGAGGAUUCCUAAUCCUCAGGUCCUGGUUCGAUUCCAGGUGGGGACG
RNAcentral lists this transfer RNA (72 nucleotides) under Deltaproteobacteria bacterium RIFOXYA12_FULL_61_11. Its description in RNAcentral is "tRNA-Arg". It matches the Rfam family "tRNA". From Rfam's summary of the family: Transfer RNA (tRNA) molecules are approximately 80 nucleotides in length. The record is from RNAcentral. Lineage: Bacteria; Deltaproteobacteria.